Molecule: transfer RNA, 61 nt
Filed under: Leptalina unicolor
Lineage: Eukaryota; Metazoa; Arthropoda; Insecta; Lepidoptera; Hesperiidae
Description: tRNA-Arg
Source: RNAcentral
AAUAUGAAGCAAAUUAUGCAUUUAAUUUCGACUUAAAAGAAAGAGUAUUUACUCCAUAUUU